RNAcentral lists this transfer RNA (63 nucleotides) under Trigonopterus sp. 2 AH-2016. RNAcentral describes it as "tRNA-Tyr". It matches the Rfam family "tRNA". Rfam says of the family: Transfer RNA (tRNA) molecules are approximately 80 nucleotides in length. Their secondary structure includes four short double-helical elements and three loops (D, anti-codon, and T loops). Further hydrogen bonds mediate the characteristic L-shaped molecular structure. tRNAs have two regions of fundamental functional importance: the anti-codon, which is responsible for specific mRNA codon recognition, and the 3' end, to which the tRNAs corresponding amino acid is attached (by aminoacyl-tRNA synthetases). tRNAs cope with the degeneracy of the genetic code in two manners: having more than one tRNA (with a specific anti-codon) for a particular amino acid; and 'wobble' base-pairing, i.e. permitting non-standard base-pairing at the 3rd anti-codon position. Lineage: Eukaryota; Metazoa; Arthropoda; Insecta; Coleoptera; Curculionidae. The record is from RNAcentral.
GGUAAAAUGGCUGAGUGUAGGCGGUAAAUUGUAAAUUUACAGACGAAGAUAUUUCUUUUAUCA